Molecule: long non-coding RNA, 1027 nt
Filed under: Camarhynchus parvulus
Lineage: Eukaryota; Metazoa; Chordata; Aves; Passeriformes; Thraupidae
Description: lncRNA (ENSCPVG00000017422.1)
Source: RNAcentral
CAUUUCCCCACAUCCCACAUCCCAUAUCCCUUUCCCCACAUCCUUUUUCCCAUAUCUUAUCUCCUCAUAUCCCAUUUCCCCAAUCCCAUUUCCCCAUAUCCCAUAUCCCAUUUCCCAGUUCCCUAUAUCCCAUUUCCUAGUUCCCCAUUUCCUAGUUCCCUAUCCCAUUUCUCCAUAUCCCAUUUCCCCAUAUCCCCACAUCCCCCAUAUCCAUUUCCCCAUUUCCCCAUUUCCCAUAUCCCCAUUUCCCCAUAUCCCAUUUCCCCACAUCCCUUUCCCACAUCCCCAUAUCCCCAUAUCCCAUUUCCCCACAUCCCAUAUCCCAUAUCCCUUUCCCCAUAUCCCAUUUCCCCAUAUCCUAUAUCCCCAUAUCCCAUUUCCCCAUAUCCCCACAUCCCCAUAUCACAUUUCCCCACAUCCCAUCCCCAUAUCCCAUUUCCCCAUAUCCCAUACCCCAUAUCCCCAUAUCCCAUUUCCCCAUAUCCCCACAUCCCCAUAUCCCAUUUUCCCCAUCCCAUAUCCCAGUUCCCCUUUUCCCAGCUCCCCCAUCCCAUUUCCCGGCCUCUCCAUUCCCGUUUUUUCCCCCAUUUCUCCGGGACAAAUCCUCUCUGCGGAGGCCCGGAGAAGCCGGGGAGGCGCAGGAAAAAGCCGGGAACGAUCCCAAAUCCCCGAAAUCAAUCCGGGAGCCAGCGGAGCGGGAUUAGGGCUCGCCGGGGGCCCGGGCGGGAACAGAGCCGGCAUUGUAACCCGAGCUCAUCCAGGGAAAACCGGGAAAGCGGGAGAGGGAGCCUGACCCCGGCAUCCCGCGGGAGCCGGCAACGAGGAGCGAGUGAAGAAUUCCAGAGGCGGAUUUGGCUUCCUGCUCCCGCCGCAGACGGACACGGGGGAGGCGGCGCGGGGCCGGCGCUUCCCAGCGCACCUGGAGCGGCUCGGGAAGCGCCUGGAGAGCGGCGAGGGGGGCGAGGCGCCGGGGGGGAAAAAAAACAACGCCAAAAAAAACCGGGAAAAGCGGGAUGGAAAAUAGCGG